RNAcentral lists this small RNA (134 nucleotides) under Kosakonia sacchari. Its description in RNAcentral is "RtT sRNA". It matches the Rfam family "RtT RNA". Rfam says of the family: This family represents a bacterial cis-regulatory element known as RtT RNA. The exact function of RtT is unknown although it is thought that it may be involved in changing the cellular response in relation to amino acid starvation. Lineage: Bacteria; Pseudomonadati; Pseudomonadota; Gammaproteobacteria; Enterobacterales; Enterobacteriaceae. The record is from RNAcentral.
GGUCCGCAGGGCGAGUAUCAGGAUGAGACAAGUAACUCUGCAGCAGGUUCGGGUCGAACGCAGUGAGACAACGGAGCCGCUUGCGGCGACGACCCGAAGGGCGAGCAAAGCGAGCCAUCCUGUACGACCCACCA